GAAAGAUGAGCAGGAACCAUCAAAGUGGGUUGAAUAUGGGAGGUGUGAGUGAUGGACUUUGGAAAAGAUAAAAUUCUUCCCCAUUGACACGUUUCUCAAAGCACCUUCUCUGUGAUUUCUCAGUGUUUGCUAUGCACCAAACACUUCUCAUUUCUGAGCUUGCCUUUAUGUUUCCAUGUGCAUAUCCAUGCUUUGUCCCACAUAUCGACAGGUCCUUUCGCAUUCAUUUUCCCAUACGUAUUGCUUGGGAAGGCAGAUGCUUGAUAGAGCUACCUACCUUCUUCCAAUGAAAACUACUUCACAUCACUGCGUUAGUACCUUUAAUGUUUGUAUUACUCUUGGUUGUUGGUUGACCCAAUUAAGCAUUAAUUAGCUAUUUUCUUCUUCUCACCUUUGGCUGAAAU
RNAcentral lists this unclassified non-coding RNA (404 nucleotides) under Hevea brasiliensis (rubber tree). Lineage: Eukaryota; Viridiplantae; Streptophyta; Magnoliopsida; Malpighiales; Euphorbiaceae. The record is from RNAcentral.